CAGUAGCCGCGGUAAUACGAAGAGUGCAAGCGUUACUCGGAAUUACUGGGCGUAAAGCGUGCGUAGGUGGUGGUUUAAGUCCGUUGUGAAAGCCCUGGGCUCAACCUGGGAAUUGCAGUGGAUACUGGGCCACUAGAGUGUGGUAGAGGAUAGUGGAAUUUCCGGUGUAGCAGUGAAAUGCGUAGAGAUCGGAAGGAACAUCUGUGGCGAAGGCGACUAUCUGGGCCAACACUGACACUGAGGCACGAAAGCGUGGGGAGCAAACAGGAUUAGAUACCCGCGUAGUCCCUGUCUCUUAUAU
Molecule: ribosomal RNA, 301 nt
Filed under: uncultured bacterium
Lineage: Bacteria
Description: partial 16S ribosomal RNA
Rfam family: Bacterial small subunit ribosomal RNA
Source: RNAcentral